RNAcentral lists this ribosomal RNA (504 nucleotides) under uncultured bacterium. Its description in RNAcentral is "bacterial SSU rRNA". It matches the Rfam family "Bacterial small subunit ribosomal RNA", at positions 107 to 607 of the family's 1533-position model. The record is from RNAcentral.
UGAGUAAUGUCUGGGAAACUGCCCGAUAGAGGGGGAUAACUACUGGAAACGGUAGCUAAUACCGCAUAACCUCGUAAGAGCAAAGUGGGGGACCUUCGGGCCUCACGCUAUCGGAUGUGCCCAGAUGGGAUUAGCUAGUAGGUGGGGUAAUGGCUCACCUAGGCGACGAUCCCUAGCUGGUCUGAGAGGAUGACCAGCCACACUGGAACUGAGACACGGUCCAGACUCCUACGGGAGGCAGCAGUGGGGAAUAUUGCACAAUGGGCGCAAGCCUGAUGCAGCCAUGCCGCGUGUGUGAAGAAGGCCUUCGGGUUGUAAAGUACUUUCAGCGGGGAGGAAGGCGAUGAGGUUAAUAACCUCGUCGAUUGACGUUACCCGCAGAAGAAGCACCGGCUAACUCCGUGCCAGCAGCCGCGGUAAUACGGAGGGUGCAAGCGUUAAUCGGAAUUACUGGGCGUAAAGCGCACGCAGGCGGUCUGUCAAGUCAGAUGUGAAAUCCCCGGG